Molecule: small nuclear RNA, 159 nt
Organism: Lolium perenne
Lineage: Eukaryota; Viridiplantae; Streptophyta; Magnoliopsida; Poales; Poaceae
Product: U1 spliceosomal RNA
Source: RefSeq, a predicted model, not a curated record
UUACUUACCUGGACGGGGUCAAUGGUUGAUCAAGAAGAUCCAUGGCCUGGAUUAAUGGCCUCCAUUGCACUUGGGAGAAGCACUACUUCACCAUCUCCUCUUGAGGAGAAUGGACGUCAUAAUUUGUGAUAGAGGGGGUACGCGUUCGCGCGGCCCCUA